AUGCCUUCUUCUCACUCCCUCUCUGUCCAGCGAGGGACCAUGCGCAACACUCCCACUCCUCAAUGGUCGAGGCCGCAUCAACGCCUCCCCCCGCAACCCAAAUCUUCCGAGCCUCCCGAGAUCCUCCUCCUUCCACCUCUGCAAACCUCUAUUCUUCAGGAUCACCCGAUCCAAGCAGCUCCAGAGCUCCUCCACAUAAGCUGCAGCGCCGAGAGCCCGAGCGCGCCCGAGACCAGCAGCUCUGACCCCGCGCCGCCCUGUUCCGUCCAUCUUCCUCUUUCUCGCUUACUCUCUUCCUCAAGAGAUGGUAUUUUCGAUCCCCAAUCCCCGCCGGUCUUCCACGUCCGCCGCGUCAACUUCCUCAAGUCGCCACAUGCUCCCCUGUUGAGCCACAUCGCCGCCUCCGGCGGUACCCCUGGCCUAAGCGGCGCUGCCCCCGGCCUCCUUCCUCCUCUACUGGCGCCGCCUGCUCGCCUUUGUGCCGCCGACCUUCUCCUCCGACCUCCUGCAGUCCUGCUAUGCCCGAGCUCCGCCCCUUUCCGAUCCCGCCGUGGAAAGAAGAAGGAGAGGAGGGCAUGGCGGCGCGUUGGUCCGGUACCGGAGCUCCGGUGGGCGGCGGCGCGGGGCGGCAGGGAGGCACGGGCGCGAGCCGCCCGCGCGUGGAGGCGCUGGUUGCGGUCGGCGGCGGCGGACACGGGCAAAUGCGGCAGGGUGUUUUUUGUCAAAACGAUUUUAUCAGAUCCACUUAAACAGGACUGCGGGUUUAUUUCAAAGUAA
This 777-nucleotide ribosomal RNA is filed under the name Triticum aestivum (bread wheat). Its description in RNAcentral is "partial small subunit ribosomal RNA". Lineage: Eukaryota; Viridiplantae; Streptophyta; Magnoliopsida; Poales; Poaceae. The record is from RNAcentral.